Molecule: long non-coding RNA, 253 nt
Filed under: Fukomys damarensis (Damara mole-rat)
Lineage: Eukaryota; Metazoa; Chordata; Mammalia; Rodentia; Bathyergidae
Description: lncRNA (ENSFDAG00000024394.1)
Source: RNAcentral
CAGCAAGUGGACAUUUGGGAUUUGAACCUGGGCAGUCUGGCCGCAGAGUUCUUACUCUGACGCCACUGUAUGCCUAGGCACUGCAAUGGCAUCUGCGGUGCAUCAUUAAUGAAAACAAGAAACCCUUAUAUUGUGUACUUAAACAUGAGCUUCCAAAUGUCAACACACACGAAAACCAAGCAGCAUUUCCUGGACCCCCAAAGCUCCCAUGGGCCAGACGGGCCGAAGGUGGUGAACCAAAAUAGCACAGGAC